GGGGGUGUGGCUCAGUUGGUAGAGCGUUCGCUUAGCAGCUUAGCUGCGAAAGGUCCUGAGUUCGAUUCUUAGCUCCUCCA
Molecule: transfer RNA, 80 nt
Filed under: Lasiosphaeris hirsuta
Lineage: Eukaryota; Fungi; Ascomycota; Sordariomycetes; Sordariales; Lasiosphaeriaceae
Rfam family: tRNA
About the family: Transfer RNA (tRNA) molecules are approximately 80 nucleotides in length. Their secondary structure includes four short double-helical elements and three loops (D, anti-codon, and T loops).
Source: Rfam by way of RNAcentral